AGUGAACGCUGGCGGUAGGCCUAACACAUGCAAGUCGAACGGCAGCACAGUAAGAGCUUGCUCUUACGGGUGGCGAGUGGCGGACGGGUGAGGAAUACAUCGGAAUCUACUUUUUCGUGGGGGAUAACGUAGGGAAACUUACGCUAAUACCGCAUACGACCUACGGGUGAAAGCAGGGGAUCUUCGGACCUUGCGCGAUUGAAUGAGCCGAUGUCGGAUUUGCUAGUUGGCGGGGUAAAGGCCCACCAAGGCGACGAUCCGUAGCUGGUCUGAGCGGAUGAUCAGCCACACUGGAACUGAGACACGGUCCAGACUCCUACGGGAGGGAGCAGUGGGGAAUAUUGGACAAUGGGCGCAAGCCUGAUCCAGCCAUACCGCGUGGGUGAAGAAGGCCUUCGGGUUGUAAAGCCCUUUUGUUGGGAAAGAAAAGCAGCAGGUUAAUACCCCGCUGUUCUGACGGUACCCAAAGAAUAAGCACCGGCUAACUUCGUG
This 492-nucleotide ribosomal RNA is filed under the name uncultured bacterium. RNAcentral describes it as "partial 16S ribosomal RNA". It matches the Rfam family "Bacterial small subunit ribosomal RNA", at positions 29 to 507 of the family's 1533-position model. The record is from RNAcentral.